Molecule: long non-coding RNA, 271 nt
Organism: Poecilia latipinna (sailfin molly)
Lineage: Eukaryota; Metazoa; Chordata; Actinopteri; Cyprinodontiformes; Poeciliidae
Exons: 3
Source: RefSeq, a predicted model, not a curated record
CAAAACCUGUUGGAUAUGCAAUUAUUACAGGACGAAAAGUGGGAUUUUCGACAGCUAUUGACACCUAGUUCUGCCGUGCGCAUGGAGAUUGAGGGCCAUCGGCAAGAGGUUUUUGUCAGAGUGGAAAAUUGUAGGGCACUGCCAAGAAUGGUCAAAAACGCUGUGUGUCCGUGUUCCCCUAUCAUCCCCCUCCCCUUGUGCCUAGCAGAGGUUUUCGUAUUUAAAUGAAGUUGCUGAGAGCCAUGCAAAUGCAAAUCAACUGUUGGGCACC